This 284-nucleotide unclassified non-coding RNA is filed under the name Funneliformis mosseae. Its description in RNAcentral is "partial contains 5.8S ribosomal RNA and internal transcribed spacer 2". The stretch from base 1 to 71 matches the Rfam family "5.8S ribosomal RNA", at positions 84 to 154 of the family's 154-position model. Lineage: Eukaryota; Fungi; Glomeromycota; Glomeromycetes; Glomerales; Glomeraceae. The record is from RNAcentral.
GUGAAUCAUCGAAUUUUUGAACGCAAAUUGCGCUCCCUGGUAUUCCGGUGAGUAUGCCUGUUUGAGGGUCGUUAGAAGAAAAAUCGAAGCAUCGCUCUUCUCUUUCAGGGUGAUCGCGUCGGAAUUGAUCCGUCUUUCAAAUGUUAAUUCAUGUCAAAGUGGCUUAAAAUUCAUCCAUUCGGUACGAUUAAAGCGUAUUUAAGAUCAAUUUUGAUUAAGAACGCGCGAUGACGUACCAUCUCAUGUAGUACGUUUUACCUGGGUCAUCAGAUUCAUUCGUAUCC